GACGGAGGGGGCUAGCGUUGUUCGGAAUGACUGGGCGUAAAGGGCGCGUAGGCGGUAUAAUAAGUGAGGCGUGAAAGCCCUGGGCUUAACCCAGGAGGUGCGUUUCAUACUGUUAUGCUAGAGUGCGAGAGAGGAAAGUGGAAUUCCUAGUGUAGAGGUGAAAUUCGUAGAUAUUAGGAAGAACACCAGAGGCGAAGGCGGCUUUCUGGCUCGCAACUGACGCUGAGGCGCGAAAGCGUGGGGAGCAAAC
This 250-nucleotide ribosomal RNA is filed under the name uncultured bacterium. RNAcentral's name for it is "partial 16S ribosomal RNA". It matches the Rfam family "Bacterial small subunit ribosomal RNA", at positions 524 to 773 of the family's 1533-position model. The record is from RNAcentral.